Molecule: non-coding RNA, 72 nt
Organism: Podospora didyma
Lineage: Eukaryota; Fungi; Ascomycota; Sordariomycetes; Sordariales; Podosporaceae
Source: the annotation of a GenBank genome assembly
GGCCCGCUGGCUCAAUGGUAGACCUACGAUUGGUACAUCAGGAGGCUCCAGGUUCGAGACCAAUGUGGGUCA